Molecule: long non-coding RNA, 1051 nt
Filed under: Homo sapiens (human)
Lineage: Eukaryota; Metazoa; Chordata; Mammalia; Primates; Hominidae
Description: non-protein coding lnc-GOT2-6:1
Source: RNAcentral
GGGUGAUUGAACCAAGCCUUCACCGCACCGAGUUUGCCCUACUGCAGUCACCCACACCGCGGCUCGCUUACGGUUGGAGAAAUCAAGGCCCUACCGGGGCCACCUCUCUGUUGUGGGCGUGGACGAGGCUGGGGUGAGCCUGCCGGAGCUGCAGUUGCCAGCGACAUGUUCAAGGUAAUUCAGAAGGGUCCGUGGGGCCAGCCAGCCGGAGCUUGUUCACCUUCAGAGUCUGUGCAGCACCGAAAAAGGACUCACCUCCCAAAACUUCCGUGAAGGUUGACGAGCUUUCGCGAGGGCAAAUCGCAGUGUGUGGAGGAGUCAAGGAACCAGCUUGAAGAAAGCUUCUCACAGCUCCGACACUUAUUGCGAGCCAUACACAAGCUGGUGUCAGGACACGUACUCCCAAAGUAAGCCCAAGAUGCAAAGUUUGGUUCAGUGGGGGUUAGACAGCUAUGACUAUCUCCAAAAUGCACCUCCUGGAUUUUUUCCGAGACUUGGUGUUAUUGGUUUUGCUGGCCUUAUUGGACUCCUUUUGACUAGAGGUUCAAAAAUGAAGAAGCUAGUGUAUCUGCCUGGUUUCAUGAGAUUAGCUGCCUCCCUGUAUUAUCCACAACAAACCAUCGUGUUUGCCCAGGUCAGUGGGGAGAGAUUAUAUGACUGGAGUUUAAGAUUUGUGGAAGGAGAACUUUCAAAAGCCAGGAAAUGUGAAGAAUUCACCUGGAACUAAGUAGAAAACUCCAUGAUCUGCCCAUCUUAACUUAUUUAAGUUACCUAUAUUAAGUUACCUACAACUUAAUCAGUUAUAGGUACACAUUGGAAACUCCACAGAGUAAAUCAGUAUUUCUACAGAAAAAUGUCAGAGAAGUCAGUAUUGAAUGUAUUAAAUUGGCUUUCUUCUUCAGGAAAUACUAGAUCAGACCUCUGUUAUCUUGGGUGGUACCAUCCUACACGCAAACUAAUCUGAAAUCCUUUCACCUAGGGAUAAUGUACAAACCUUAGAACUCCUCGUUUUCAUGUUGCUAUUUAUUUACAUAAUUAAAACCCAAAUUAA